Molecule: non-coding RNA, 787 nt
Filed under: Eysarcoris rosaceus
Lineage: Eukaryota; Metazoa; Arthropoda; Insecta; Hemiptera; Pentatomidae
Source: RNAcentral
UGUAAAUUUAAUUCUAGUUUUUGAUAAUAGUUUUAUAUUAAUUUUAAUAUGUGAGUGUUUGCAUGAUUUAUAAUUUAUUUAAAUAAUAAAUCUAUAAAUUUAAUUCGCAGUUUUUGAUUUUGUAUAAUUUAAUAAUUUAAGAUACAGUUAAUUAUAUAAUGACUAGCAAAAAUUGUGCCAGCAGCUGCGGUUAUACAAUUAGUCAGGAUUAUUAUUUUUAGGGUAAUUAUUUAUUUAGUAAAUUGGUUAUAUAAUUUGUAUUUUAGAGUGAAAUUUUAAAUUUAAUUAAUAUAAUUUGGUAAAUUAAAUUAUUAUAAGAUAUUCUUUAAUUAAGACUAGGAUUAGAUACCCUAUUAUUAAGAAUGUAAAUUUUUCCCUCAGUAUUAAUAGUUAUGAUCUUUAAAUUGAAAGAAUUUGACGGUAAUUUUAAUCAUUUUAGAGGAACCUGUUCUGUAAUCGAUAAUCCACGAUAAAUUCUACUUUUAUUUGUUGUUUGUAUAUCUCUGUCUUAUAGAAUGUUUUAUUAGAAUAUUUUCAUUAAUUUUUAAUAAAAAAUUAUGUCAGGUCAAGGUGCAGCUAUAUAGAUGUUUGAAAUGGGUUACAUUAAUUUUUAUUAAUUUUGGAUAAUUUUUUUAUAGAAAAUUUGAAAUUGGAUUUAAUUGUAAUGUGUAAUAUAUAUUAUUCAUGAUAUAUGUUCUUGAUUAAGUACAUAUCGCCCGUCACUCUCGUUAUAAGAUGAGAUAAGUCGUAACAAAGUAGUUCUACUGGAAGGUGGGGCUAGAUUAAU